This 960-nucleotide ribosomal RNA is filed under the name uncultured bacterium. RNAcentral's name for it is "bacterial SSU rRNA". It matches the Rfam family "Bacterial small subunit ribosomal RNA", at positions 577 to 1533 of the family's 1533-position model. The record is from RNAcentral.
GGAUAUAUAGUUAGAUGUGAAAUACCCGAGCUCAACUUGGGAGUGCAUUUAAGACUGUAUGUCUAGAGUUGUCAGAGGGGGGUAGAAUUCCAAGUGUAGCAGUGAAAUGCGUAGAGAUUGGAGGAAUACCGGUGGCGAAGGCGGCCCCUGGGAUAGAACUGACGCUCAUGCACGAAAGCGUGGGUAGCAAACAGGAUUAGAUACCCUGGUAGUCCACGCCCUAAACGAUGUCUACUUGCUGUUGGGUGUAAAAGCUUAGUAGCGAAGCUAACGCGAGAAGUAGACCGCCUGGGGAGUACGGUCGCAAGAUUAAAACUCAAAGGAAUUGACGGGGACCCGCACAAGCGGUGGAUGAUGUGGAUUAAUUCGAUGCAACGCGAAGAACCUUACCUGCUCUUGACAUGCUAGGAAGAUUUCAGAGAUGAGAUUGUGCCUUCGGGAACCUAGACACAGGUGCUGCAUGGCUGUCGUCAGCUCGUGUCGUGAGAUGUUGUCUUAAGUGACGCAACGAGCGCAACCCUUACUACUAGUUGCCCUAAUUAAGUUUGGAACUCUAGUGGGACUGCCGGUGAUAAGCCGGAGGAAGGUGGGGAUGACGUCAAGUCCUCAUGGCCCUUAUGAGCAGGGCUUCACACGUCAUACAAUGGUAGGUACAGACGGUUGCCAACCCGCGAGGGGGAGCUAAUCCGAGAAAGCCUAUCGUAGUCCGGAUUGUAGUCUGCAACUCGACUACAUGAAGUCGGAAUCGCUAGUAAUCGCAGAUCAGCAUGCUGCGGUGAAUACGUUCCCGGGUCUUGUACACACCGCCCGUCACACCAUGGGAGUGGAGGAUACCAGAAGUAGUUAGGCUAACCGAGCACUCGUGUUAGGAGGCCGAUUACCACGGUAUGUUUCAUGACUGGGGUGAAGUCGUAACAAGGUAGCAGUAGGGGAACCUGCGGCUGGAUCACCUCCUUUCUG